This is a long non-coding RNA of Phragmites australis (common reed), 822 nucleotides long. RefSeq lists it as uncharacterized. The record is from RefSeq and is a predicted model, not a curated record. Lineage: Eukaryota; Viridiplantae; Streptophyta; Magnoliopsida; Poales; Poaceae. The transcript has 4 exons.
GUAGAAUCACUCUUGAGCAAACUUAUUCACGAAUUUGAGUGCCGUAUUGCAUAUCAGAAUGAAUUGGUGAAAGACACUAUGGAUACUAAUGAGAGUAAGUCAUUAUCUAGAACAGACUCACCACAAAAUGGAGGCUACUUCCGCCUGCGAUAUGGAUAAGGUGGAUGAAAAAGACCACAAUUCUGUGAGUGUGAAGGAAGAUUUCAGCAUUGUAAUACCUACACCACUAAAUGAUAAUAAUGUAGAUAAACUUAUGCAACCAAAGUCAGAAAGAAAUUUUGAUAAACAACAUAAACAGAUCCAGGUAUUUGUAAUGUGUAGUGAUCUUUCACGAAUUUGUUUACUUGCAUCUCCAUUAUCUUCCUAUGAUUGUUGAAACUGGCUGUAGGAUUUGAAAAGCAUCCUUUCCACUAUUAAGUCUGGGAUGGAGCACUUAAAAUUGCAGUACUCUGAAGAUCUUACAAAGCUUGGUAUAUUGAGCCCUAAAUUUUGAAUCAUAAUAUUAUACUUUAUUUUUUAAAAUGGUGCAUCUCAUAUUAUUUUGUGCUCUAUUAGGUGAUCAUUUCUGUGUUGUUUCUCAUGCGGCUUCCGGGUACCAUAAAGUUCUUGAGGAGAACCGGAAGCUGUACAACCAAAUACAAGACCUUAGAGGAAAUAUUAGAGUGUAUUGUAGAGUGAGACCUUUCCUUCCUGGAAAAGUAAGUUCAUCAACCAGUGUUGCUGGAAUAGAAGAUAGAACCAUCACACUCAUAAUACCAUCAAAAUAUGGAAAAGAUGCACGGAAGUCUUUUACUUUCAACAGGGUCUUUGGGCCCUUAGCCA